UGUGGAGGUUCAGGUUUACAAUCUUAGAAAUGCAAUGAUUGAUGUGUUUUCUAAUCGUAAUGUAGCAAACAAAUUGUUUUGCAAGUUAUGUACUUUAAUUAUCUGUAUCUUACCAUUCUUACCAAGUACUGUCAAAUGUACAGCUUGAUUUUGUAUAUGUAUUUCCCUCAGUUUCUUGUAGGUUCCUGCAUAAGAGGUCAUUAUUGCAGAGUUGGAGACUGACACUAUGUUUAUUAGUACAUGCUAUUGGAAUUCCCAACAAACUUGACAGGAUGGAUCAGUCACACGUUGGUUACUUCAAGUCUUCUAAAGGUAUCCCGUAAUCUAUUAAUCAAGAUGUUUGCAGAACUAAAUAAUGUUGUAGUGACUGAACGAUUACCUGAUAAAUUAAAUUCAGUAAGUAUAUCAUUUAUAGUAGCAUCUUAUUCUUAUGUGAUGUAAUAUAUGAUCAUAUGGAUUGCAGUAUUUGAUAGCUCCGAAAUAACUUCAAGAUUUUGCCACGUGCUCUCAAACAAUCGUAGUCCGAAAAUUUGGUGGCCAGUUGCUGCUAUCUCUACUCUGCUUCGUCCUUUCGUAAUGGCAAUAAGAAAUCUUGAUUGCUGCCGACAUGAAAUUCUAACUGAAUUUGUUAUUCAGCGGGCAAAUCCAACAUCUUUUUGUACUGUACUUGCAUGUUCCAGGAUAAUUUGGUGGCAAAAGAGCUACGUCGUUUCUCACUAGACCAACAGACAAUAGUAGUGAUACCUUUGCAUUUAUAUAGUACCAUAUUUACUCAUCUGUAUACACUGUUCCUUUCAUUCCUCACACCACAAGUAUCUAACGGCCGGAUAGGUCCAGUCCAGCCGAGACACAUAUAUUCCAGUCCAACAUACUCCCUCCAUCCAAAAAAGCUUGUCCCAAGCUUUUUCGGAUGGAGGGAAUAUAUAGUCCAGUCACACAUGCUCUAACGUGAUUUCACCAGAGACAGUUAGGCCAGCAACGGUAUAUCCAUAAAGAAUAGCGACAGCUAAAGGAAACCAUUCAGCAGGUAAGAAUGAGAUAGACUUUUCAGUGCCAGGCAACCAUUGAGCUGUAGACAAGUGGAACAACAUUCAUGUCCUAGAGGGAUAAAGACACAUAUAAUUACGAUGGAGGUGACAGGCCUGAAAAUGUGAGAAUUGAAGCAAUAUAUUCCCUUGUAUAUAUGUUUUCUCUUUUGAAAUAUCUCAAUAGUUUUCCAAUUUGUUUCCUGUAAAUCUCAUAUUUUAAUACUCCUUAGACCUUAGUAAUGCAUAGGUGUAAUAUUAGUUGAUAUUGCAAUUUUG
Long non-coding RNA from Triticum aestivum (bread wheat), 1304 nucleotides. RefSeq lists it as uncharacterized. The record is from RefSeq and is a predicted model, not a curated record. Lineage: Eukaryota; Viridiplantae; Streptophyta; Magnoliopsida; Poales; Poaceae. The transcript has 3 exons.